AAAAUCAACAAGAGUAUGUGUAUAUAAAGGAAAUAUUUUAAGCAAAGACUGACUACCCAGAAGGGGUAGACCUCUGUUCUUUUGUCUUUCAGAUCAUCAGAAAAAAUGGAUGCCAGCUGAAUAGCAUUCAACGUACCAUGCAUUUACUAGCACAAUAAAAUUAUUUGUGUGUUCUAUGGCCAAAAUUGUUGUUCAAAUUUGCAUACCAACAGUCUUUGGAAGCAAGAACAUAAAAAGUUAACCCAUUCCCCAUAUUGCCCAUGGGAUCCUUCUGGCUACCUCAGAUUUCUAGCCAAAAAGCUGGAAAAAAAAAAAAAGCUAUUAAACACAAAAAGCUGUACCGAGUAGACUCCUCAAAGAUAAAAGAAGUGCUACCCAAAAACCCUGCCCUCACAGAGGCAUCAGAAGUACCAUCUGAUCUGUAGCCAUAAAGACAUACUUAGAAACUUUCUAAGUAAAAAUACAAACAUUCUCAAUGCUCCUUCCAAGCAUAUAAACCAAUUAAAGAAAAAACUUGUGCUCGCAUCAAAAAAAGAGGUUGUUUCUAUGUUAAUCAUUCUGGAUUAAUUAAGCAGAAUUUACAAGCCAUUAAAAAUGCUGCUGUUGUUUUCCGUGCUUUAUCUCUUAAUCACACCUUUAGUUUUAAGACCCUCCUUCCAGACCUUGGGUCAUAGUUUACGGGGCUCUUUCAAACAAUUGUUAAAUAAAUUCUUUUCGUUCUAUGUGUUAUUUAAACAAUAAUACAAUGUGCCAAAUGCCUGUGUAAUGCUAUAAUCAAAAGCUCUGCUGUCCA
Molecule: long non-coding RNA, 793 nt
Organism: Trachemys scripta elegans
Lineage: Eukaryota; Metazoa; Chordata; Testudines; Emydidae
Exons: 2
Source: RefSeq, a predicted model, not a curated record